AGAACGAACGUUAGCGGCGCGCCUAAGACAUGCAAGUCGAGCGAGAAAGGGCUUCGGCCCCAGUACAGCGGCGCACGGGUGAGUAACACGUAGGUCAUCAACCCUCGAGUGGUGGACAACCCUCCGAAAGGAGAGCUAAUACAGCAUAACGCCAGCAAUGGCCAAAGCGGGCCUCUCCAUGGAAGCUCGCGCUUGAGGAUGAGCCUGCGGCCCAUCAGCUAGUUGGUUGGGGUAACGGCCCACCAAGGUUAAGACGGGUAGCUGGUCUGAGAGGAUGAACAGCCACACUGGAACUGAGACACGGUCCAGACUCCUACGGGAGGCAGCAGUCGGGAAUCUUCGCAAUGGGCGAAAGCCUGACGGAGCGACGCCGCGUGAGCGAUGAAGGCCUUCGGUUGUAAAGCUCUGUGGGAGGAAGAAGUAAGGGUAGGCCAAGUAACCUAUCUGAUGACGGUACUCCUUAGCAAGCACGGCUAACUCUGUGCCAGCAGCCG
This 494-nucleotide ribosomal RNA is filed under the name uncultured soil bacterium. RNAcentral's name for it is "bacterial SSU rRNA". It matches the Rfam family "Bacterial small subunit ribosomal RNA", at positions 26 to 517 of the family's 1533-position model. The record is from RNAcentral.